This 74-nucleotide transfer RNA is filed under the name Bacillota bacterium. RNAcentral's name for it is "tRNA-Pro". It matches the Rfam family "tRNA". From Rfam's summary of the family: Transfer RNA (tRNA) molecules are approximately 80 nucleotides in length. Their secondary structure includes four short double-helical elements and three loops (D, anti-codon, and T loops). Lineage: Bacteria; Bacillati; Bacillota. RNAcentral also lists the same sequence under 1 other name. The record is from RNAcentral.
CGGGGUGUGGCUCAGCUUGGUAGAGCGCUUGGUUCGGGACCAAGAGGCCGCUGGUUCAAAUCCAGUCACUCCGA